This 208-nucleotide ribosomal RNA is filed under the name Melanacanthus sp. CMF 0416. RNAcentral describes it as "partial large subunit ribosomal RNA". The stretch from base 1 to 143 matches the Rfam family "Eukaryotic large subunit ribosomal RNA", at positions 3018 to 3161 of the family's 3401-position model. The record is from RNAcentral. Lineage: Eukaryota; Metazoa; Arthropoda; Insecta; Hemiptera; Alydidae.
AGUAAUCCUGCUUAGUACGAGAGGAACCGCAGGUUCGGACAAUUGGUACACGCACUCGGUUGACACGCCGCUGGUGCGACGCUACCAUCCGAGGGAUUAGGCCUGAACGCCUCUAAGACCGAAUCCCGACUAUACGCAACGAUAUAACGAUGGGUCCCGUGAGUCGAGAGGCUCAAUGCAAUGUGACUCUAUUAGGUGGUCGGUCUCG